CAGGGCUGGGCUUCAUCAGCGUGUGGGAGGAAGGCACCAGCUAUCGAAGGCCCCACAAAGGAACAGCCACAAAGGAGCAAACACUUUUGACUUCGGCACAAGCCAACAGUGCAGCCAUGACAAAAGGGAAUAAAAAAGAAUAAAAGAGAAAUAACUCGCCUGAAGUGUGACCCCAGUGGGUCUCGGGCUGCCACCCUUGGCCUCCGGUUCUGUCAGCACCUUGGAUGACACUGAAAGCCUCAACUCCGCACCAGGCUAAGCGUCCCACCUGCGUGAGCUCCGAUCUGUCUGGGGUGACAAGGAAUGCCCUGCUCUGAGUCAGGAGCAUGGAAGUCUUUCAACCACUCUUCCCUGAGCACCUACUGUU
Molecule: long non-coding RNA, 367 nt
Organism: Manis pentadactyla (Chinese pangolin)
Lineage: Eukaryota; Metazoa; Chordata; Mammalia; Pholidota; Manidae
Exons: 3
Source: RefSeq, a predicted model, not a curated record